AUUGAACGCUGGCGGCAGGCUUAACACAUGCAAGUCGAACGAUGACUCUCUAGCUUGCUAGAGAAGAUUAGUGGCGGACGGGUGAGUAACAUUUAGGAAUCUGCCUAGUAGUGGGGGAUAGCUCGGGGAAACUCGAAUUAAUACCGCAUACGACCUACGGGUGAAAGGGGGCGCAAGCUCUUGCUAUUAGAUGAGCCUAAAUCAGAUUAGCUAGUUGGUGGGGUAAAGGCCCACCAAGGCGACGAUCUGUAACUGGUCUGAGAGGAUGAUCAGUCACACCGGAACUGAGACACGGUCCGGACUCCUACGGGAGGCAGCAGUGGGGAAUAUUGGACAAUGGGGGCAACCCUGAUCCAGCCAUGCCGCGUGUGUGAAGAAGGCCUUUUGGUUGUAAAGCACUUUAAGCAGGGAGGAGAGGCUAAUGGUUAAUACCCAUUAAAUUAGACGUUACCUGCAGAAUAAGCACCGGCUAACUCUGUGCCAGCAGCCGCGGUAAUACAGAGGGUGCGAGCGUUAAUCGGAAUUACUGGGCGUAAAGCGAGUGUAGGUGGCUCAUUAAGUCACAUGUGAAAUCCCCGGGCUUAACCUGGGAACUGCAUGUGAUACUGGUGGUGCUAGAAUAUGUGAGAGGGAAGUAGAAUUCCAGGUGUAGCGGUGAAAUGCGUAGAGAUCUGGAGGAAUACCGAUGGCGAAGGCAGCUUCCUGGCAUAAUAUUGACACUGAGGUUCGAAAGCGUGGGUAGCAAACAGGAUUAGAUACCCUGGUAGUCCACGCCGUAAACGAUGUCUACUAGCCGUUGGGGUCCUUGAGACUUUAGUGGCGCAGUUAACGCGAUAAGUAGACCGCCUGGGGAGUACGGCCGCAAGGUUAAAACUCAAAUGAAUUGACGGGGGCCCGCACAAGCGGUGGAGCAUGUGGUUUAAUUCGAUGCAACGCGAAGAACCUUACCUGGUCUUGACAUAGUGAGAAUCUCUCAGAGAUGAGAGAGUGCCUUCGGGAACUCACAUACAGGUGCUGCAUGGCUGUCGUCAGCUCGUGUCGUGAGAUGUUGGGUUAAGUCCCGCAACGAGCGCAACCCUUUUCCUUAUUUGCCAGCGGGUUAAGCCGGGAACUUUAAGGAUACUGCCAGUGACAAACUGGAGGAAGGCGGGGACGACGUCAAGUCAUCAUGGCCCUUACGACCAGGGCUACACACGUGCUACAAUGGUAGGUACAGAGGGUUGCUACACAGCGAUGUGAUGCUAAUCUCAAAAAGCCUAUCGUAGUCCGGAUUGGAGUCUGCAACUCGACUCCAUGAAGUCGGAAUCGCUAGUAAUCGCGGAUCAGAAUGCCGCGGUGAAUACGUUCCCGGGCCU
Molecule: ribosomal RNA, 1355 nt
Filed under: uncultured bacterium
Lineage: Bacteria
Description: bacterial SSU rRNA
Rfam family: Bacterial small subunit ribosomal RNA
Source: RNAcentral